ACGGGGCGUGGUUGGUGGGCG
This 21-nucleotide microRNA is filed under the name Macacine alphaherpesvirus 1. Its description in RNAcentral is "hbv-miR-B4". Its record names the gene hbv-miR-B4. The record is from miRBase by way of RNAcentral. Lineage: Duplodnaviria; Heunggongvirae; Peploviricota; Herviviricetes; Herpesvirales; Orthoherpesviridae.